UCACCUGAGGCGACCUUCCUUUGUUCCGCUCGGCGGCACGCUCUGUGUCCCACGCACAGAUUCUGCUUCCAAGUUUGGGACCAUUUCCCCCUUCGAAUCAUGGCGUUGCUGUUUCCCUCCUGUGUAUCAGACCUGGCUCCUGCAGACCACCAUGUGAGGAAAACUAAUUUUUUACAGAAUAGGUGUUUAUAGUCUGGGGAACAUCACCGAGACUCCUGGGGCCUUGUUGCUGAAUGACUUUUCUUCUGGUUUCUCUGCAGGCCAAGCAGACUCUCCCAUGUUGAGGACACAGGACCUUGGCAUCAGGAAGAGAGAAUCCCAAUAACAGCUCCUCGGUUUCUUAGCCUUGUGGCCUGAGGCAGUAUUGUGAGCCUCAGUUUCCCCCCUGUGAAGCAAGGGGGAAACACCUGCUUCUCGGUGCUGGGUGGGGCCCCCACGGGGCAGAGGUGAUAGGGCGCCGAUCCCACUGAAGGACGGCCAGGCGGAGGGACGCUCGCAGCUAACCCUCACGCUCCGCUCUGAUCGAGAGCUCGCAUGUCGGUGUCUAGCUUGGUGCUGGCCGGCCGUGUCUGCGUCGGGGCUCCUGCUAAUGCAGGCCCUAAAAUGAAGGCCGCAGGGACAGGAGUUUCUCUGGGAGGCCAUCCCAGGAGGCUCCUGCAGCGGAGGCCAAGGCGCUGACAUAGCUCCAGGGGCCACACCCAUAAGAGUGUCCCAGUGCAGGCAGUAGGGGCUCAGCCCUGCUGGGGUCCUCCCCUCGGACCGCUCAGCCGGUCGGGGGCGGUUGGCUGCCACUCUGGGCCCGGGGCUGCUCCAGCACAUCCUUGUCCACCCAACAGAAGCUCUCGCGGCCAUGGCACUUGCUGUAGAGGUCAUGGGUCUGCGAACAUGAGCUUCCAGGAAAUGUGGCAUCAACAGCGUCUGCUACGACGACCCUUACGUUUUGCAGAAGAUGCCUCGGCAUUUACCGUGUACUUCCGGUGACUCAGUGGGCAGACUGGGCUGUGCUGGGGUCACCGCAGGUGCUCACCUCCCUCGGGCACUGGACGGGGCUGCCGGGAAGGGGCUCUCUGCCCCCGAGGCAGACCCUGGAGGAGCCGACAGCUGGGGCGGCUCUUCCUGGAAGGAGUAACUGGAUGACGUGUCUGUCCGGCACAUUCGCCCUAUCUCGCUUCUAGAAUUCCGGCAGGCAGGCUCUCCCAGCCCGGUGCCACCCCUCCCCGGACCCUUCUGUGCAGGAGAGGCUCCAGGGGCUGACAUGUGGAGUGAAAGGCCGGGCUCCCUGCCCAGCACACUGCAGCGGGCCAGUGGCCUGUGCUCCCCUCACACUGCCGGCUCGCUGCGUAGCAUCUACACUCCUCAAAAAUUAAUACACAGAAAUUUCCCCAAACCAGAGACACGAGCUUCCGUAUCGAAGAAGCCCACUGAACGCCCCAGAACAUGAGUGUCAAAGACCAGUGGCGAAGCACGUCAUUAUGAAGCUUCACAGAUUGCAACGAGCCAAGUUUCUGAAUUUUGUUUCAAAGUUAAGCUGUUCAAUUUAUAAAUAAGGGUUCAUAAAAGUGUAUUCUAACUUUGUGAGGCAGAGUUAAUUGGACUGAAUCACUGCAGUUGUGAGUAAAAUCAGCCUCCAAUAAGAAAUGUCAUUUUGAGGACGCCUGGGUGGCUCAGUUGGUUAAGCAGCUGCCUUCGACUCAGGUCAUGAUCCCAGCGUCCUGGGAUCGAGUCCCACAUCAGUCUCCUUGCUUGGCGGGGAGCCUGCUUCUCCCUCUGCCUCUGCCUGCCACUCUGUCUGCCUGUGCUCACUCUCGCUUCUCUCUCUCUCUGACAAAUAAAUAAAAUCUUAAAAAAAAAAAAAAAUUUGUAAAAAAAAAAAAAAAAAGAAAAGAAAUGUCGUUUUGAACUUGAAGGGAACAAAGACAGUUAUCUGUCUGUACCAAGUAGCCUGAAAACUUUGACUCUCUUGUGGCAAACAUACUCUGGUCCCAAGGUUAUGAGAAAACUGCAUGGAACUAUUAACACUAUCAGUAUUCCAAGAAAGCCGCUUCGAGUUCCUACCACAAAGACUUAGCCAGAGUCAACUCUAUACUGAUGAGAUCUACAGGACGGGUAGAUUUCGCAGGCUCGUCUGGUGGAAAACCACCUACUGUCCAGCUCAGGGUUCUUUUCAAAAAGUGCCUGUUUCAGCAGAUUCCCAUUGUCUUGGAGUAUCUCAUUAAAUACUUGUGCUUCCGCUGAACGUUCUGGCCAAGGCUGGAUUAAAGAAUGUGGGACUCAGAGUUCUCUGCUUCCACCCCAAGCGUCGGAGAGAACCGAUAAUCCGGAGUUUCGCAGAGGAGAAUAACACGGCUCCCCUAUUGUGGCAGACACUGUAAAUGUCUGCCUGGUAGCCCUUCCCCUUUUCUGGGGAAACAGUAGAACCCAGAUCAGAGGCCUGCAGUACGGCCCAUCCUGUGGAAGGAGUCACCACGGGGCCCGCAGGGUCAUCUAGGACCCCGUGGCCAGGUGCUGGAAGGGGUGUGGUAUGGCCGGGCCCCUAGCAAGGGAAUUCAGGGUCACCUCUGCUGAGGAUGGCUUCAUCUUACUGCCCCUCUCCCUGUGACUCAGGACGCGAGGUCCGGAGCCCAUGCAACCGUCUCAUCCCAGCAGAGAGUGCCGUGGCUGACACACUGGAGGUGAAGGAGCCGAUUGCCGGAAGGGGCCUGGGCCCUUGAUGAGCGUGGAGACGUGCCAGACCCACCUCAGGAUCACUUCCUUCCAGACCUCCCGCUGAGGGAACAGUCAAGUUCUGUGCCUGCUGUGGGGCUUGAACUCAUGACCCUGAGAUCAAGAGUCACCUGCUCACCCUCCUGAGCCAGCCAGCCGGAUGCCCAAAGGAGCAGUCUUUAAAGAAGAAAUAUUUGGAGAUGGUGCAUUUCACACUUAAAAACAAGAGGCCCCGUAUUUAACAUACAUCGUUGGCUCAUGAGGGUUGCAUGCACGGCCAGCAGGACCGCCCCUCACAGCCGCAGGAAGCUUGUCCAACACACGUGUUUUCUCCAUGGGACCCGUCAUAGCCUUCCCGGGCUUAGGAGCUCAAGACAACACGUCAGCACCGUGUCUGGGGGGACUUUCAGCAGAGAAAUCACCAGCAAAUGCCUGAGAAUGAGAAAAACACGGCAGGAAGCUGACCGCGUAGAGGACAUCUGCGUCCAGUAUGAGCCAGGACAAGCAGGCAGAGUGCCACCUGUUUGACCGCAGCUGUACCGACGUCCAGAGUGCUGUCAGGGUCACAGUCUGGAAUUAAAGCAGAAAGCCUCUGUGUGUUCCCACGGUAAGACCCCCGAGGUCCCAGAGCGAGACAGCACGUUGCGGAAGGGAGCAGACGGACGGCGAAUGCUCGGAGGACGCGCCCUGACACGCACCCGAACGCCAAAUCCAGAGCCGAGACGACGUGCAGCUCUUGCUGUCGCCGGUGGGACAAGGCCACCGCGCUGUCUCACCCGAGCUGGACAGAAAGGAGCUAAGGUGCCCCCGGCCGUAGUUGGGAUGUGACCGCGAGGACGUCUGGGACCGGCCUGCCCAUGUGCCCUGGGAAAAACCGGGAGACGACCGACCCACCCCGCCACGGAAAUAUGAAUGAGCCGUUGCCUCUAGAAGCCAUCAAACCAGUUUUGGAGGCUGUGUUUUACCGUAGAUGCUGGGUCAGUACCUGAGGACCCGCAGGACUGAAUGUCGGCCCCUGCGUGCGGAAGGAAGCGCCAGCCCGGCACUGCGGGCUUGAGAGCGAGUGCAGGGACCCUUCCACACGACCUUCUGUUUGCUUAAGGAGACCGGGGUUGGUUUCCGCUCUUUCCACAGAUCAAGCCCUAAGUAACACACAGAUGGGUACCAGGGGUGGAGUACGUGGAGACAGUGGGUUCAGGACGGCCACGCGUUCCUUGUCCAGAGCCGUGCUCUCUGACGGUCCGUGACCACGCGUGCGGCGGGCGUGAAGCUGCGCCAGCGCAGGCCGAGCCUUUCCGGCCGGUGGACACGGCCUUCGCCUCCCGCAGCCUGCGCGGCCGUGUCGGUCAGACUCCCCCGAGGCCCUCGAGCCAUGAAAAACCCGACCUGUGUGAAGACGUCCCAGAGAGGAAGACACCGCGUGAACAGGAAGGGGAGAAAGACGCAAGCACGGAGCCGCGCCGAGCAGGGGAGGCGUCUGGAAGGGAAGGCCAGGCCUGAGGCGACCUCGUCCACCCUGCGUAGCUCCGAGACCGACAAAGCCGUUGAGGUCUUCCAAAAUUCCUGACCCACAAUCAUAACAUCAAACGGUGGAGGCGCCUGGCUGGCUCAGCCUCUAGAGGGUGCGGCUCCUGAUCUCUGGGUCAUGAGUCCGAGCCCCACUUCAAAA
Molecule: long non-coding RNA, 4372 nt
Organism: Mustela lutreola (European mink)
Lineage: Eukaryota; Metazoa; Chordata; Mammalia; Carnivora; Mustelidae
Exons: 5
Source: RefSeq, a predicted model, not a curated record